GAUAAACGCUGGCGGCGCACAUAAGACAUGCAAGUCGAACGGAAGUCGUUGUAAUGAUAUAGACAUGGACAGAGAACUUGUUCGAAGAAAGUGAAAAUUGACUUACAACAAUGGCUUUAGUGGCGGACUGGUGAGUAACACGUAAGCAACCUGCCUAUCAGAGGGGAACAACAGUUAGAAAUGACUGCUAAUACCGCAUAUGCCUAAGUAACACAUGUUACAAUAGGGAAAGGAGUAAUCCGCUGAUAGAUGGGCUUGCGUCUGAUUAGAUAGUUGGUGGGGUAACGGCCUACCAAGUCGACGAUCAGUAGCCGGACUGAGAGGUUGAACGGCCACAUUGGGACUGAGAUACGGCCCAGACUCCUACGGGAGGCAGCAGUCGGGAAUAUUGCGCAAUGGAGGGAACUCUGACGCAGUGACGCCGCGUGCAGGAAGAAGGUUUUCGGAUUGUAAACUGCUUUAGACAGGGAAGAAAAAAGACAGU
This 484-nucleotide ribosomal RNA is filed under the name uncultured bacterium. RNAcentral's name for it is "bacterial SSU rRNA". It matches the Rfam family "Bacterial small subunit ribosomal RNA", at positions 28 to 476 of the family's 1533-position model. The record is from RNAcentral.